This is a non-coding RNA of Equus caballus (horse), 1593 nucleotides long. The record is from RefSeq and is a predicted model, not a curated record. Lineage: Eukaryota; Metazoa; Chordata; Mammalia; Perissodactyla; Equidae.
ACCGAGGCCUGUUCUUUCCACUUUGGGGGCUGUGACUUGCGAUUCUCCACAAGAGCAGGUGGUGCUUGUGUGGGACUCCAGACUUUUGCAUUAUAGCCUCCCUGCUUUCCUCUCCUCUGCUGGAAGCUUCGCAGGCCUGUGACUUUGGAGGAAGAGGGCGAGGUGGUGAGGCUGGAGAUGAGUCCGCUGAGAGAGGCUUGGCCGCAGAAUGCCCACUGAGAGAGAUGAGCAAAUUUCGGUGUACUCUCCGAGAGGAAAUGACCCAAUGGACCGUUGCUCCUCUGUUAAGUUGUGAUGCUGUUUACAAACACUGUGCAGUAUUUAACCUCUCAUUCUGGAAGACUAGAAACUGUUUGCUUGCAGAAAAUAUCAAAUGUUUGAGAUUAACUGCAGCAUCCAAGAUGCAUGAUGAUGAAAUUACAAUUUGAUUGUGCCUGCAUUUCUUCUGGAAAACAAGGCUUGAGUGCAAAGGCAAAACCAAGCAAAACUAGAAUGAAGAGCCUCAACAAGUAGUUUAACAAAAAUAAGAUUUCAGGCACAACAUAUUUGGCAGAUUUUAGAGGAAGACCCCUUCCUUUGAAGUUUCUCUAUGUUGCGCUGAGAACUCUUCACUGUAUCAGUCAGCUGGGUGGGGUUCAUGGAGUUUUGAUGUCCCUGCCUGCCUUUGGCCAACAGAACAGUUUACUCCUCCGGCACACCACUCAAGUGAAAACACAGGAAUUUUCUGAGGUAGCCAUUCUGAUACAUAUGUCACCAAGCUUGGACCUUCCUCCCUCUGAUGAUGAUGGGUUACAAUCUCUGGCUCAGUCUGCAUGUGGUUGGAAGAUACCUGACCAAGUCAAAGAGACCGUUAGGAGUUUUUCUUCAAAUCUAAGGAUUUGGCGCUUUUGCCAGAUUGGACUGUUUCUGUUUGAACGAAAAAGGGAGGGAGUGGUGGGAGAGAUUGUUGGUUAUCUCCCAAUAUCUGUCCUCCUCCUCUUCUUUUAAUAAAACUAUUCUUAGUUGGGCACAUGGCUGACUAAAAUAAAAAUUACCUUUUUCAGCAUCUCGUGCAACCAGGUAUGACCAUGUGGUUGACCAGUGAGCUGUGAGCAGAAAUGACGUUGGCACUUCUGGUUCAUGCCUCCAUCCUCUUUCCUCCUGUUUGGGAUGCAGAUGUGGUCAUAAACCGUCUUGGACCGUGUGGAUGCAAGCAAUUCUUUAAGACAAUAAUUCCCAAACUUUGCUGCACGUUAGAAUUACCCAGGAAGCUUUUAAAAAUCCCAAUGCCCAGGUUAUGCUGUGGGCCAAUCAAAUAAGAAUGUCUGGGGGUGGGAGCCAAGACAUGAGUGUUUUUAAAAAUUUCCAAGUGAUUCCACUGUGAAGCAGAGUUUGUGAAUCACUGCCUUCGGGAGUCCAGAACAGAACGUUAAAGGAGCCUGUGUUGCUGACAGCACCCUAGUCCAGGACUCCCUACAGCAGGCCCAUCACAUGGCAGAGAAAUAGACUUCUAAUUUGUGUAAGACUGUUACUUGGAGUCUCAGUUACAGCUGCUGAACUUGUGUACUAGCUAAUGAAGUGGGUCACUGUCAUUAAAACUAUUUCACAGAAUAA